This 456-nucleotide ribosomal RNA is filed under the name uncultured bacterium. RNAcentral's name for it is "bacterial SSU rRNA". It matches the Rfam family "Bacterial small subunit ribosomal RNA", at positions 344 to 793 of the family's 1533-position model. The record is from RNAcentral.
GGAGGCAGCAGUGGGGAAUAUUGCACAAUGGGCGCAAGCCUGAUGCAGCCAUGCCGCGUGUAUGAAGAAGGCCUUCGGGUUGUAAAGUACUUUCAGCAGUGAGGAAGGCGGGUACGUUAAUAGCGUGCUUGUUUGACGUUAGCUGCAGAAGAAGCACCGGCUAACUCCGUGCCAGCAGCCGCGGUAAUACGGAGGGUGCGAGCGUUAAUCGGAAUUACUGGGCGUAAAGCGCAUGCAGGUGGUUUGUUAAGUCAGAUGUGAAAGCCCGGGGCUCAACCUCGGAAUUGCAUUUGAAACUGGCAGACUAGAGUACUGUAGAGGGGGUAGAAUUUCAGGUGUAGCGGUGAAAUGCGUAGAGAUCUGAAGGAAUACCGGUGGCGAAGGCGGCCCCCUGGACAGAUACUGACACUCAGAUGCGAAAGCGUGGGGAGCAAACAGGAUUAGAUACCCUGGUAG